RNAcentral lists this ribosomal RNA (1214 nucleotides) under Bryopsocus sp. KY470. RNAcentral describes it as "SSU rRNA". It matches the Rfam family "Eukaryotic small subunit ribosomal RNA", at positions 110 to 1297 of the family's 1831-position model. The record is from RNAcentral. Lineage: Eukaryota; Metazoa; Arthropoda; Insecta; Psocodea; Bryopsocidae.
UUAUGGUUCCUUAGAUGGUACAAACAGUUACUUGGAUAACUGUGGCAAUUCUAGAGCUAAUACAUGCAAACAGAGUCCCGACCAUUCUUUGGAAGGGAUGCUUUUAUUAGAUCAAAACCAAUCAGGCCUCACGGCCUGUUGCUCUUGGUGACUCUGAAUAACUUUCGGCUGAUCGCAUGGUCUCGUACCGGCGACGCAUCUUUCAAAUGUCUGACUUAUCAACUUUCGAUGGUAGGCUCUGCGCCUACUAUGGUUGUAACGGGUAACGGGGAAUCAGGGUUCGAUUCCGGAGAGGGAGCCUGAGAAACGGCUACCACAUCCAAGGAAGGCAGCAGGCGCGCAAAUUACCCACUCCCAGAACGGGGAGGUAGUGACGAAAAAUAACGAUGCAGAACUCAUUCCGAGGCUCUGCAAUCGGAAUGAGUACACUCUAAAUCAUUUAACGAGUAUCCAUUCGGAGGACAAGUCUGGUGCCAGCACCCGCGGUAAUACCAGCUCCAAUAGCGUAUAUUAAAGUUGUUGCGGUUAAAAAGCUCGUAGUUGGAUCUGUGUUCCACGCUGUCGGUUCACCGUUUUGUCGGUGUCUAACUGACAUGUCUUGAAACGUCCUGCCGGUUGGCUCCUGUCGCGGUGAUCUUCAUCGAGUGUCGAGGCGGGCCGGCACGUUUACUCUGUACAAAUUUGAGUGCUUAAAGCAGGCUAUAACCGCCGCCACACUGUGUGCAUGGUAUAAUAUCAUAGGACCGCGGUUCUAUUUUGUUGGUUUUCAGAGUCCGAGGUAAUGAUUAAUAGGGACAGGCGGGGGCAUUAGUAUUGCGACGUUAGAGGUGACAUUCUUGGAUCGUCGCAAGACUCACAUAAGCGAAAGCAUUUGCCAAGGAUGCUUCCAUUAAUCAAGAACGAAAGUUAGAGGUUCGAAGGAGAUCAGAUACCGCCCUAGUUCUAACCAUAAACGAUGCCAGCCAGCGAUCCGUCGACGUUCCUCCGAUGACUCGACGGGCAGCUUACGGGAAACUAAAGCAUUUGGGUUCCGGGGGAAGUAUGGUUGCAAAGCUGAAACUUAAAGGAAUUGACGGAAAGGCACCACCAGGAGUGGAGCCUGCGGCUUAAUUUGACUCAACACGGGAAAUCUCACCAGGCCAGAACACCAGGUGGAUUGACAGAUUGAGAGCUCUUUCUUGAUUUGGUGGGUGGUGGUGCAUGGCCGUUCUUAG